AGGGGAUUAGCUUAAUGGUAGAGUGGUUAUCUUACACAUAACUGGCAGUAGUUCGAUUCUACUAUUCCCUA
This is a transfer RNA of Mucor circinelloides, 71 nucleotides long. It matches the Rfam family "tRNA". From Rfam's summary of the family: Transfer RNA (tRNA) molecules are approximately 80 nucleotides in length. Their secondary structure includes four short double-helical elements and three loops (D, anti-codon, and T loops). The record is from Rfam. NCBI's taxonomy places the organism in Eukaryota, Fungi, Mucoromycota, Mucoromycetes, Mucorales, Mucoraceae.